RNAcentral lists this ribosomal RNA (460 nucleotides) under uncultured bacterium. RNAcentral's name for it is "partial 16S ribosomal RNA". It matches the Rfam family "Bacterial small subunit ribosomal RNA", at positions 338 to 795 of the family's 1533-position model. The record is from RNAcentral.
CCUACGGGAGGCAGCAGUGAGGAAUAUUGGUCAAUGGGCGCGAGCCUGAACCAGCCAAGUCGCGUGAAGGAUGACUGCCCUACGGGUUGUAAACUUCUUUUAUAAAGGAAUAAAGUGAGGCACGUGUGCCUUUUUGUAUGUACUUUAUGAAUAAGGCUCGGCUGACCCCGUUCCCGCAGGCGCGGUAAUACGGAGGAUCCGAGCGUUUUGCGGAUUUAUUGGGUUUAAAGGGAGCGUAGAUGGGUUGUUAAGUCAGUUGUGAAAGUUUGCGGCUCAACCGUAAAAUUGCAAUUGAUACUGGCAGCCUUGAGUACAGGUGAGGUAGGCGGAAUUCGUGGUGUAGCGGUGAAAUGCUUAGAUAUCACGAAGAACUCCGAUUGCGAAGGCAGCUUACUAAACUGCCACUGACAUUGAUGCUCGAAAGUGUGGGUAUCAAACAGGAUUAGAUACCCGAGUAGUC